This is a non-coding RNA of Oryza glumipatula, 206 nucleotides long. The record is from Rfam. NCBI's taxonomy places the organism in Eukaryota, Viridiplantae, Streptophyta, Magnoliopsida, Poales, Poaceae.
AAAAAGACAAACCCUGGGUUUCUAUGUCUAACUUUGAUUGUCCGUCUUAUAUAAAAUUUUUUUAUAAUUCGUAUUUUUAUUGUUGUUAGAUGAUAAAACAUGAUUAAUAUUUUAUGCGUGACUUGUCUUUUUAAUUUUUUUUAUAAUUUUUUCAAAUAAGACGGAUGGUCAAACGUUGGACACGGAAACUAAGGUUUGUCUUUUUU